Molecule: ribosomal RNA, 207 nt
Filed under: uncultured bacterium
Lineage: Bacteria
Description: partial 16S ribosomal RNA
Rfam family: Bacterial small subunit ribosomal RNA
Source: RNAcentral
CGCGUAGGCGGAUGAAUAAGUCAGAUGUGAAAUUCCGAAGCUCAACUUCGGAACUGCAUUUGAAACUAUAGAUCUCGAGGAUUGACGGAGAAAACGGAAUUCCACGUGUAGCGGUGAAAUGCGUAGAUAUGUGGAAGAACACCUGUGGCGAAAGCGGUUUUCUAGUUUAUACCUGACGCUGAGGCGCGAGAGCAAGGGGAGCAAACA